UGACAAUAUCACAUUCAAAUACCGGUUUCCGUGUGAUCCCUGAAGUUUAGCACCGUCGAGCCUGGUCAGUCCCUAGAUGGGUGACCGCUUAGGAAUAACAGGUACUGUAAG
Non-coding RNA from Acanthosepion pharaonis, 111 nucleotides. NCBI's taxonomy places the organism in Eukaryota, Metazoa, Mollusca, Cephalopoda, Sepiida, Sepiidae. The record is from the annotation of a GenBank genome assembly.